AUGGCUUACCAUCUACGAUCGGCAAGCACGCCUUCGAGGCCUCGCUCAAACAAAACUGAAGUCGAGCAGCAGCUCCAGAGCCUGAGCACAACCAUCUCUUCGCCCUCGGCGACCAUUGAUACGAUGUGUGAUGGCUUGAGGAGGCUCGGUGACAUCUACAGCUGCAUCGAGAAGAUGAUGUGCACACCAAGCAGCCAAGUCAGCCUUUGCCAGACCCUUCAAGGGCGGCAGUGGAGGCGGAGCUUGGACGAGCUACUGUUGGCUCUCAGGAGAGGAGAAGGUGUGUCUUCUCAAGUCAAGGCAUAUGUCCGGCUAGUAAACAAGGUGCAAAAACAGUUCAAGAAGAUCAGCAAGAAAACUACUUCCGACAAGAACGGCUCUAGGGUGGUGAUGCUAAUGGCAGAAGCAAGAGAGAUCACCAUGUCACUGCUCGAAUCCACGUCCUCAAUCUUGUCGAAGCAAGUUGAGAUGCCCAAGUGGUCUCUUGCCUCCAAAACAUUCCAGAGGAGCAAAGUUGUGUGCCAAGAGGAGCAAUUGCAGGCACUGGAGCACACGCGACACAGGACCCAUGUCGGGAGCCUGAAGCUGGGCAACCUCCAUAUCUCUUUUGUCUCCGGCGAGAUACCCUCAAGCUCCGAACUCCCUCUCUGUACUGUCUUCCAUGACCUCAGACACAAAGGAUGCGCCGACAGGUUGAGCUCCGCAACCACCGGCUCCAAGGAAAAGCCACCACGGCAGAGGUCGGCAGUAAGGAGGCCAAAGAGGAUGGUGGAGGGGUCGCGAGCCCGCUCCCGUGACCCGCUCCCACCCCCCAAACCCUUGCCGCCGCCGCCACCUCCCCUGCCCAUCUCCGACGGGAUCCGGCCGCCCUCGCCGGCACGCGGCCCGGAUCCGCUCCCCCCUCCCCCGCCCUCCCUUCUCCGCCCCUCCUUCCGCCCUCGCGUCGCCUCCCCGGGAGGCAGCCAGGGCGGCCCCCGCACCUCUCCUCUCAGCUUCGCCUCCUCUUCCUCUCCCCUGCCGUCGCCGGCGGGCACCCCCGGCUCCGGCCCGGGGGGUGCCGGCGGCGGCAGGAUCUCCUCUCCCCGCGCACGCGGUGGCCGAUGUCGUGCCCUCGGCCCAGAUCUGGGCCCGACGGGCCCCAUCUGGGUCCUAGCGGGCCGGCCCCUGGCGUGGCCUCGUUGUCUGCGGCGCGGUGAGGAGGAGGAGCGGCUCGGAUAUGGGGCGUCGGCGCCGAUGGCGUGCCGGCAGCAGCGCGAAGGCAGGAGCUCUACGGGCCCACGAGGGCUCGGCCGGGCCUGUGGGCCCACGGGCCUGGUGUGCUCCUGCUAUUGCGUCCGAACGGCUACCGUCGCUGACGGUGGAGGUGGGGCCCUCCCGCGUGCCGACGGUGCUGAUGCCCUAGUCCCGGUUCUGAUUCUUCGUCACGCUGUCCUCACUUCACGGUGCCGUGCGCCCGAGGUGCGGGUUGGGAUCGGAGGAAACCCCUGUCGGCAUGGGCGACACCGGCGCAGUGGCGCCUGUGGGUGCCACCUGACCUUCCGGGAGGGCGUCGGGGGCUACCCUUCCUCUCGCCUCGUCGUGUACCGGGGGAAACCCUUGGCAGCAGCGUCGCCAUCAUCGCGAUCCUUCUUGGAGGUGUUGAUAGGUGCCGGCGCUUCGGAGUCUUGGAGCCUAGCGGAAGAUCUCGGUGGGCGCUGCGAUUGCGAGGCUUCUUCGUUUUUGUUGAUCCGCCGUAUACAUUUCUCCUAUAUGCACCAAGCAUGGGUCAUCGAUCAGUUUACACCCUGUCCCGUCCCCCGUGUCGCCCACCCCGCAGGCGACCCAGGCGGAACCCUAGCCGCCAGGCGAACUCCCUCCUCAUCAGACCUUCCUCCCAUCGCCGCCACCAGCAGGCGCCGCCGGGCAAAGCCCGUGCAGCGGCGGCGGCGGGGCACUCCGAUUCUCCUUCUCACGGUGCUCGGGCGUUGCGGGGUGUCCGUCGUGGGAGCACGUGGUCGCCGUGACGAGCUUGCGCUGGGGCUGCGCGAUAAGCGUGUACGACACGCGAGAACGCGUGUCGUGCGCGGACGCGGGCGUGGGGAUCUGGCUCUCAUGGCGCAGCGGCGGCUGGCAGAUCGAAUCUCGAGGCGGCGGCCUCGACCGGUGGUGCGCGGUGCGGCCUGCCUGGCGGGCGGCACCCGCGGGUGCAGAUGGGGGCCCUUCCACGGCUGUGUGGGCGCCGUGGAGGCAGCGGCGCUGCGGCGGCUUCUCGAUGGCCGACCGGAGUUCCAUGGGAGGCGUCAUCUCCGACUCGAUCUAUUCUGGUUCGUGCUGGCUGCGGUACUUAGCGACUACGGUCGACGCCAGUACUACCUGGACGGAUCUGGCGGUCAAGAAUCUGCAUCCACUUACAUGGCUGCCCUUUUGUUGUGGGACUGCUGA
RNAcentral lists this ribosomal RNA (2421 nucleotides) under Triticum aestivum (bread wheat). RNAcentral describes it as "partial small subunit ribosomal RNA". Lineage: Eukaryota; Viridiplantae; Streptophyta; Magnoliopsida; Poales; Poaceae. The record is from RNAcentral.